Rosa rugosa (rugosa rose) is the source of this 393-nucleotide long non-coding RNA. RefSeq lists it as uncharacterized. The record is from RefSeq and is a predicted model, not a curated record. NCBI's taxonomy places the organism in Eukaryota, Viridiplantae, Streptophyta, Magnoliopsida, Rosales, Rosaceae. The transcript has 2 exons.
UACUCUUCACUUGAGUACUAGUGAAUGGAAUAUCUAGAAUUCUUCCCUUUUGCAUUUGUAGUAAUAGAUUUCGAAAAUCAUGUGAAUUUGGAUAUUGAAGUCUCCAUUGGCCAAGAGAUUAUUCGGCUAACCAAGAAGUGUUGAAAUGAAGUCUUGUGCUGAAGGUGGCAAUAUUAUGCCUAUGGGAUUAGGACGUCACUAUUGAAAAAUGACAGUAGCAUUACAAGAUUGACGGCAGCUUUAUACAACUAUUGUAAUUGAUUUUCACAACUAUAUUAGUGACUUUUUACACAUAUGGAAUUAGCUUUUUACAUAGUUAUAUCAUUAUUGAACCUUGGAUACUUUUUGUAUCAUUGAAUAUGAUUUUUUUUCUUGAUUGUAGUAGCAUUUUUA